Molecule: microRNA, 21 nt
Filed under: Sarcophilus harrisii (Tasmanian devil)
Lineage: Eukaryota; Metazoa; Chordata; Mammalia; Dasyuromorphia; Dasyuridae
Description: Sha-Mir-7246_5p* (star (passenger))
Source: RNAcentral
UAUCCAACCUUACUUCCCACU